Molecule: non-coding RNA, 803 nt
Organism: Malus domestica (apple)
Lineage: Eukaryota; Viridiplantae; Streptophyta; Magnoliopsida; Rosales; Rosaceae
Source: RefSeq, a predicted model, not a curated record
UUAUGUUUAAUGACCUUAGGUCGGACUCGCUCGGAUUAUACACUUCCUUACGAGUUGUUAACGAGCAUCCCCAAUUUCAGGCGGACUCGUAAGCCCACCGCGAGAGAGUCACUCGUCCAAGAACCGCCCAACAUCGCUCGUCCUGCUUGUCCUCAUCGUCGUCCACGAAAAGACUUGGACUGGAGUGUGAGCUUGUAAAGACAAGGAAGAAGAAGAUGACGUUGGGUCUGAUCAAUACCAACCACGUGGUCCACGCUAAGAAUGAAAGGGUUGCUCACACCGAAGAUCUCCACGCUGACGACGUCGUCGAUCCUCUCGAUAUCUAUGAUAUCCUUUCCCAAUCCAUCUCUUACCGCCUUUCUUUUCUUUCUUUUUAAAAUUUAAUUAUGUGAAAUUUUGCUGAAAUUUGCCAUCUUUGACUGGAAAUUGCAAAUUUCGUGAGGGAUAUUAGAGAUCCGGAGCACCCCUACUCGUUAGAGCAGCUUAGCGUGCUUUCGGAAGAGUCGAUUACAGUGGAUGACAAGCUCGGCCAUAUUCUGUGAGUAUCAUUUCUCAAUUUUGAGCUUCAAUUUUGCAUUUUUCUGGAUAACUUUUACGCCGACAAUUCAGCAUUGCAGUAUGGCAACAGUGAUAGGUAUGUGCCUGAGAGUUAAACUGAAACAUUGCUUCCUCCUUAGUACAAGGUCCGUCAGUUUGCUAUGUUAGAGAUUUUGGUGCAAAAAUAUGUUCCAAUUAACCCAGAUCAUGAGAUUUGUAGCAUUACUAUAUUACACAAUGGCAAAAAAUUUAGGGCGUUGGGCACA